AAAAACUGAGAGUUAAUUAAUGCAAUUCACGGUUAAUUUGGGGCGUUGAGAAUUAAUAAGUUAUUGAAAUGCAAUUGGAAAUCAUUUUGUAUGCAAGCAAGACAUGUGUGGAGAAGAACCCCUUAGCUAGCCUUCCAUUAUCCAUUCAACCCAAAUUUGUUUAAAAUCUAUUUAAGUUUUUAGUUUAUUCGUUUUUACUUUCAACUUCACCAAACUCAAAUCCCCCAUUUACUUUCUUGUUUUAAAAUCUUUUGUUUACAUUUUUAACUUUGUUUCUUUUUGUUUUUGAGUCAGUUUAGAGGUUUUAGCAAGCCCUCCUAAUCUCCGGUUUAGAACGAUCCCUACUUACAUACUUUGCUACAAUUGUCAAAAAGAGGGUUUAAUUUGUGUGCUUAUAAUAUUUCGCAUCAUCGCUCAUAAAUCAAUUUCCUGCUAAACUUUCUGUAAAAUUUGAACAGGCAUGGCAUAAAAUUUGUGAUAUAUAUCAGUAUUGUGGACCUAAUUAUAGACAAAGAUGAGGUUGUAUGAUAUUUGUUAUACAUUUAAUCAUCUUUCAAAGAAUAAUAAUUUGUUUGCUAUCUUAUAUACUGCUAUUUGUUGGCCCAACACGGCCCACCACCAACAUUAUUGAUAUUAUCUCAACUUGACCAUCUAUUACUGGGUAUUGGAUUUUAUCACAAAAUGUCUCAGUGAUAUUAGGGAUGAAAUAUCCCAUAUUUAUAUGUUGUAUUGUAUUUUGUCAUAUGCAAUGUAGGACUCUAUUCUCCAACACGCCCCUCACGAGUGACCCCACACAAGGUUGCAAGGGAAACCAAGUCUCACAUCGAGAAUGGUCAAGUCAUUAUACCGAAUACCUGAGCUAACACCCAUCUUUUUUAUAGUUCGGUGGGUAGGUCUGUAUUCACUCUUUGGAGCUAACGCCAAUCUUUUUGAAGGCCCAAUCUUCAAUGGCCUUAAGUUGGGGCUAGCACAACUUUUUCGAAAGCCCAACUUUUGGUAGCAUGCUUAAACCUAGUAACCUGGCCUAGAACGUGUCGAGAAAAUAGCAUGCUCUGAAACCAUGAUUAACUUUGUAGGCCCAACACAAUCCACCACCAACGUCACUGAUAUUAUCAUAAAAGACUUCGAUUAUUUCAGAGAUGGAAUUCCCAUAUAUAAGUUGUAUUGUAUUUUGUCUUACUCUAGAUGUGGGACUUUAUUCUCCAACAUAUAAACUUGUUACUUUUUAGUACAAUAUUUUAUAUUUAUUUUUUCACAAACGAUAAAAUGUUUUUUAAAUUAAGGGAAAGGAAAUUCAAACUUAAGCACAUUAUUCUAGCCGACUUAACUAGUAUAUAUGUUGGCUUAUAUAUUUUAUGUCAAGAGGUAAAGGUAGAUAGAUUUGUAUUUUGAUUUGUGGGGUGAUGGAUUGCUUUUCAUUCUUUGUUCAAUAUUAAGGAAAUUGGCUAUUAUAAGCUAAUUUCAGAAGUGUUUAGCUGAAACACAAAUAUAGACACCAACUACAAUAUCUACAUCAUCUUGAUAGGAUAAAAUGUCUAAGUUACCCCUUUAUAUAUACAUAUACAUACAUAUAUAUACAUAUACAUACAUAUAUAUACAUAUACAUAUAUAUAUAUAUAUAUAUAUAUAUAUAUAUAUAUAUAAUAUAGCACAUACAACAUCUCAAUAUAUUGUAUUGAGAUAAUAUUGUUAAAAUAUCGAUAACGUUGAGAUAGUGCGGAUAAUGUAUUGAGAUUGAGAUGAUGUAAAUAUUAUACGGAGUAAACUGUCAUUUAACCCCCUGAACUAUCACGUGAGUUUCAAUUUCCCCCCUAAACUAUUUUUUUAGCCAAUUGACUCCCUAAACUGUGUUAAAGUGGCCAAUUAACCCCCUACCGUUAAGUAUCUUUAACUCCAUCCAAUUUUCUGUUAGAAAGUGUCAUGUGCUUGGCACAUGACCACCUUUUUACAUUUUAUGUCUAAAUCUUUACAAAGAAAACAUAUAUAACAAAUAUUAAAAAAAAAAAACUUACAAACCCUAAACUUAAUCAUUUAAAAUAAUAGAAAAGGUAAGGCUUUUUAUAUUAACACCCCACAAAAUGUUGAAUGCACCCCAUAUUAAAAUUUAAUAUUAAAUGACUUAUUUACUCCACUAUGCAAUGACAAUUUUGACCUUAUUAGGUUUUAAAAAAAAAAAUUAUAAUUACACCCUAAAUCACUUUUAGCGUAUUAUUUAUCUUCUUAACUAUCAAAACCCUCUCAUCCUCCAUUGUUGAACAAAAUCCUAACCAAUGAAACUACAAAUAUGUUGAUUGAGAAAAAUUGUUUUUGACGAAUGAAACACGAAAUCGAUGUUUCUGAAGCUUCACAUGAGAUAAGACUUCACAUUUUUCAUUGUUUUAGUGAUUUCGAUGAUAUCGAUAAUUAUUUAAUCUUGCGUUUGCUGCAUUAUUUUUCAAUAUGAACCCUAAAAGAUGAAUAUGAAUAUGAAUAUGAAUAUGAAUAUAUAAGUUUAAAUAAUGCAGCAAACGCAAGAUUAAAUAAUUAUCGAUGUCAUCGAAAUCACUAAAACAAUGAAAAAUGUGAAGUCUUACCUCAUGUGAAGCUUCAAAAACAUCGAUUUCGUGUUUCAUUCGUCAAAAACAAUUUUUCUCAAUCAACAUGUUUGUAAUUUCAUUGGUUAGAGUUUUGUUCAACAAUGUAGGAUGAGAGGGUUUUGAUAGUUGAGAAGAUAAAUAAUACGCUAAAAGUGAUUUGGGGUGUAUUUAUAAUUUUUUUUUAAACCUAAUAAGGUCAAAAUUGUCAUUACAUAAAUAAGUCAUUUAAUAUUAAAUUUUAAUAUGGGGUGCAUUCAACAUUUUAUGGGGUGUUAAUAUAAAAAGCCUUACCUUUUCUAUUAUUUUGAAUGAUUAAGUUUAGGGUUUGUAUGUUUUUUUUUUUUAAUAUUUGUUUUAUAUGUUUUCUUUGUAAAGAUUUAGACAUAAAAUGUAAAAAGGUGGUCAUGUGCCAAGCACAUGACACUUUCUAACAGAAAAUUGGAUGGAGUUAAAGAUACUUAACGGUAGGGGGUUAAUUGGCCACUUUAACAUAGUUUAGGGGGUCAAUUGGCUGAAAAAAUAGUUCAGGGGGGAAAUUGAAACUCACGUGAUAGUUCAGGGGGUUAAAUGACAGUUUACUCAUAUUAUACGUGAGUGUGCUAUCUAUAUGUGCACGAUGUUGUUGAUAAUGCUAGUGAAUAUUGUCAAUAUGUUGUUAUAGUUAUCAAUAUGCGUUGGACAAGUCGUCUAUGCAGUGGCGGAGUCAGGUAUUUACAACGAUGUGGUCAAAAAAUAGCUUUUAAAAAUCAAUCAUACUUCUAUUAGUUUAUAAUUCUUCACGGCGUGUUCUCAUAUUUUGGAAACGUUGUAUCACAACAUCAUUAUCAUAGAAUCAAAUACAUAAUUCUAAAUGUAUACAACCAAUCUAUUAUUCAACAAUUCAUCACUCAUCCUAUUUACAAUGUGGAUUCUUCACAAUAGGCAUCACUGAAAAAGCUUUUUCAACGGAAGCAGUCGCAACAUGUAAAAUUAUUGCUAAUUUCACUAGCAAGUACACCAAGGAAUAUUGUCUAUCCCUCUUUGUCUCCACCAACUUUUGUGCAAGACUACUAAUUCCUUUCAACACAGAAAAUUCAUUAUGCCAACACAUGUCAACGAUAUAAUUUUUAAGUUCAUCUUCAAGAAGUGUGGGCUCCAUAUUUGGAUAAAAUUGAGCAAGAAGAACUAACUCAACCACAUAAUAUAAGUUUGAUCAAAUUAACAAUCACUGACUCAACAACAACAAAAACAACAACAAAGCCUUUUCCCACUAAGUGGGGUCGGCUAUAUGAAUCCUA
This 3853-nucleotide long non-coding RNA is filed under the name Malus domestica (apple). RNAcentral's name for it is "long non-coding RNA (MDOM_LNC014264)". Lineage: Eukaryota; Viridiplantae; Streptophyta; Magnoliopsida; Rosales; Rosaceae. The record is from RNAcentral.